Molecule: ribosomal RNA, 585 nt
Filed under: uncultured bacterium
Lineage: Bacteria
Description: bacterial SSU rRNA
Rfam family: Bacterial small subunit ribosomal RNA
Source: RNAcentral
CCUACGGGAGGCAGCAGUGGGGAAUUUUGGACAAUGGGCGAAAGCCUGAUCCAGCCAUACCGCGUGCGGGAAGAAGGCCUUCGGGUUGUAAACCGCUUUUGUCAGGGAAGAAAUGCUUCGGGCUAAUACCCUGGGGUGAUGACGGUACCUGAAGAAUAAGCACCGGCUAACUACGUGCCAGCAGCCGCGGUAAUACGUAGGGUGCAAGCGUUAAUCGGAAUUACUGGGCGUAAAGCGUGCGCAGGCGGUUCUAUAAGACAGAUGUGAAAUCCCCGGGCUCAACCUGGGAACUGCAUUUGUGACUGUAGAGCUAGAGUACGGUAGAGGGGGAUGGAAUUCCGCGUGUAGCAGUGAAAUGCGUAGAUAUGCGGAGGAACACCGAUGGCGAAGGCAAUCCCCUGGACCUGUACUGACGCUCAUGCACGAAAGCGUGGGGAGCAAACAGGAUUAGAUACCCUGGUAGUCCACGCCCUAAACGAUGUCAACUGGUUGUUGGGAGGGUUUCUUCUCAGUAACGAAGCUAACGCGUGAAGUUGACCGCCUGGGGAGUACGGCCGCAAGGUUGAAACUUAAAUGAAUUGACGG